Dermacentor silvarum is the source of this 183-nucleotide small nuclear RNA. RefSeq annotates it as U2 spliceosomal RNA. NCBI's taxonomy places the organism in Eukaryota, Metazoa, Arthropoda, Arachnida, Ixodida, Ixodidae. The transcript has a single exon. The record is from RefSeq and is a predicted model, not a curated record.
AUGGCCGACGCGGGUCAAAGUGUAGUAUCUAUUCUUAUCAGCUUAAUAUCUGAUGCGGAUUGUAUUUGGACCCAAGAUAUUGAACUUGUUUUUGCAAGUUGGUGGCGUGCUUGAAGCCUCCUUCACCUUCUACGAAGGUCGGCCCGGUAUUGCAAUAUCUUUGGGAUUUUUGGUCUACGGAAA